This 90-nucleotide ribosomal RNA is filed under the name Escherichia coli. RNAcentral's name for it is "partial 16S ribosomal RNA". It matches the Rfam family "Bacterial small subunit ribosomal RNA", at positions 1 to 90 of the family's 1533-position model. Lineage: Bacteria; Pseudomonadati; Pseudomonadota; Gammaproteobacteria; Enterobacterales; Enterobacteriaceae. The record is from RNAcentral.
UUAAAUUGAAGAGUUUGAUCAUGGCUCAGAUUGAACGCUGGCGGCAGGCCUAACACAUGCAAGUCGAACGGUAACAGGAAGAAUCUUGCU